CCUACGGGAGGCAGCAGUGGGGAAUAUUGCACAAUGGGGGAAACCCUGAUGCAGCGACGCCGCGUGAGUGAAGAAGUAUUUCGGUAUGUAAAGCACUAUCAGCAGGGAAGAAAUAGCGACCUUUGGGUCGCCAGACGGUACCUGAUUAAGAAGCCCCGGCUAACUGCGUGCCAGCAGCCGCGGUAAUACGUAGGGGGCAAGCGUUAUCCGGAUUUACUGGGUGUAAAGGGAGCGUAGACGGCAGCGCAAGUCUGAAGUGAAAUGCCGGGGCUUAACCCCGGAACUGCUUUGGAAACUGUGCAGCUAGAGUGCAGGAGAGGUAAGUGGAAUUCCUGGUGUAGCGGUGAAAUACGUAGAUAUUAGGAGGAACACCAGUGGCGAAGGCGGCUUACUGGACUGUAACUGACGUUGAGGCUCGAAAGCGUGGGGAGCAAACAGGAGUAGAUACCCCUGUAGUC
Molecule: ribosomal RNA, 458 nt
Filed under: uncultured bacterium
Lineage: Bacteria
Description: partial 16S ribosomal RNA
Rfam family: Bacterial small subunit ribosomal RNA
Source: RNAcentral